This 45-nucleotide non-coding RNA is filed under the name Trichobilharzia regenti. The record is from RNAcentral. Lineage: Eukaryota; Metazoa; Platyhelminthes; Trematoda; Strigeidida; Schistosomatidae.
AUCCAGAUAACAAGUCCGAAAUAGGGCGAAAUGCGCAUCCUGGAU